RNAcentral lists this ribosomal RNA (712 nucleotides) under Klebsiella pneumoniae. RNAcentral describes it as "bacterial SSU rRNA". It matches the Rfam family "Bacterial small subunit ribosomal RNA", at positions 111 to 818 of the family's 1533-position model. Lineage: Bacteria; Pseudomonadati; Pseudomonadota; Gammaproteobacteria; Enterobacterales; Enterobacteriaceae. The record is from RNAcentral.
UAAUGUCUGGGAAACUGCCUGAUGGAGGGGGAUAACUACUGGAAACGGUAGCUAAUACCGCAUAAUGUCGCAAGACCAAAGUGGGGGACCUUCGGGCCUCAUGCCAUCAGAUGUGCCCAGAUGGGAUUAGCUAGUAGGUGGGGUAACGGCUCACCUAGGCGACGAUCCCUAGCUGGUCUGAGAGGAUGACCAGCCACACUGGAACUGAGACACGGUCCAGACUCCUACGGGAGGCAGCAGUGGGGAAUAUUGCACAAUGGGCGCAAGCCUGAUGCAGCCAUGCCGCGUGUGUGAAGAAGGCCUUCGGGUUGUAAAGCACUUUCAGCGGGGAGGAAGGCGUUAAGGUUAAUAACCUUGUCGAUUGACGUUACCCGCAGAAGAAGCACCGGCUAACUCCGUGCCAGCAGCCGCGGUAAUACGGAGGGUGCAAGCGUUAAUCGGAAUUACUGGGCGUAAAGCGCACGCAGGCGGUCUGUCAAGUCGGAUGUGAAAUCCCCGGGCUCAACCUGGGAACUGCAUUCGAAACUGGCAGGCUAGAGUCUUGUAGAGGGGGGUAGAAUUCCAGGUGUAGCGGUGAAAUGCGUAGAGAUCUGGAGGAAUACCGGUGGCGAAGGCGGCCCCCUGGACAAAGACUGACGCUCAGGUGCGAAAGCGUGGGGAGCAAACAGGAUUAGAUACCCCUGGUAGUCCACGCCGUACACGACCCUGGUAG